GACGAACGCUGGCGGCGUGCUUAACACAUGCAAGUCGAACGGAAAGGCCCUGCUGUUGUGGGGUGCUCGAGUGGCGAACGGGUGAGUAACACGUGAGUAACCUGGCCUUGACUUUGGGAUAACUUCAGGAAACUGGGGCUAAUACCGGAUAGGAGCUCCUGCUGCAUGGUGGGGGCUGGAAAGUUUCGUCGGUUGGGGAUGGACGCGCGGCUUAUCAGCUUGUUGGUGGGGUAGUGGCUUACCAAGGCUUUGACGGGUAGCCGGCCUGAGAGGGUGACCGGCCACAUUGGGACUGAGAUACGGCCCAGACUCCUACGGGAGGCAGCAGUGGGUAAUAUUGCACGAUGGGCGGAAGCCUGAGGCAUCAACGCCGCGUGCGGGAUGGCGGCCUUCGGGUUGUUAACCGCUUUCGCCUGUGACGAAGCGUGAGUGACGGUAAUGGGUAAAGAAGCACCGGCUAACUACGG
RNAcentral lists this ribosomal RNA (467 nucleotides) under uncultured bacterium. Its description in RNAcentral is "partial 16S ribosomal RNA". It matches the Rfam family "Bacterial small subunit ribosomal RNA", at positions 28 to 506 of the family's 1533-position model. The record is from RNAcentral.